GGAUUGUAGCUCAGUGGUAGAGUGCUUGCCUAGCAUGUGUGAGGCACUGGGUUCGAUUCUCAGCACCA
RNAcentral lists this transfer RNA (68 nucleotides) under Marmota monax (woodchuck). RNAcentral describes it as "tRNA.Ala". The stretch from base 5 to 65 matches the Rfam family "tRNA", at positions 6 to 65 of the family's 71-position model. From Rfam's summary of the family: Transfer RNA (tRNA) molecules are approximately 80 nucleotides in length. Their secondary structure includes four short double-helical elements and three loops (D, anti-codon, and T loops). Further hydrogen bonds mediate the characteristic L-shaped molecular structure. tRNAs have two regions of fundamental functional importance: the anti-codon, which is responsible for specific mRNA codon recognition, and the 3' end, to which the tRNAs corresponding amino acid is attached (by aminoacyl-tRNA synthetases). tRNAs cope with the degeneracy of the genetic code in two manners: having more than one tRNA (with a specific anti-codon) for a particular amino acid; and 'wobble' base-pairing, i.e. permitting non-standard base-pairing at the 3rd anti-codon position. The record is from RNAcentral. Lineage: Eukaryota; Metazoa; Chordata; Mammalia; Rodentia; Sciuridae.